RNAcentral lists this unclassified non-coding RNA (348 nucleotides) under soil metagenome. RNAcentral's name for it is "partial contains 5.8S ribosomal RNA, internal transcribed spacer 2, and large subunit ribosomal RNA". The stretch from base 1 to 120 matches the Rfam family "5.8S ribosomal RNA", at positions 35 to 154 of the family's 154-position model. The record is from RNAcentral.
GAUGAAGAACGUAGCGAAAUGCGAUAAGUAAUGUGAAUUGCAGAAUUCAGUGAAUCAUCGAAUCUUUGAACGCACAUUGCGCCCGCCAGUAUUCUGGCGGGCAUGCCUGUCUGAGCGUCAUUUCAACCCUCAUGCCCCUAGGGCGUGGUGUUGGGGAUCGGCCAAAGCCCGCGAGGGACGGCCGGCCCCUAAAUCUAGUGGCGGACCCGUCGUGGCCUCAUCUGCGAAGUAGUGAUAUUCCGCAUCGGAGAGCGAUGAGCCCCUGCCGUUAAACCCCCAACUUUCCAAGGUUGACCUCAGAUCAGGUAGGAAUACCCGCUGAACUUAAGCAUAUCAAUAAGCGGAGGA